UCGGGGUGCCCAGGCGCGAAAACUUUACAAUGCGGGAAACCGUGAUAAGGGAACUCCGAGUGCCCGUAAAAUCGGGCUGUCCCUCUCUUUAAAUAACAAGUGAAGAAAGGGCCGGGCAAGACCGAUGCCUGCCGCCCCGCUAAUACCUGCCGCUCGAUUGGUGGCCACUAUAACUGAUCUUAACUCGUUCGUACCUAGCCUGUUAAGUCUCUGGGGAAAUCUACCGGCUUAACCAAUAGGCGUUUCACGGAUACAGACUAACUAGGUACCGACAGAGAUAAGGGGUACUCCCUGGGUAGGAAUGAAAUCCUGUAAUCCUUGGGGGACCACCUGUGGCGAAGGCGCCUCACCAAAACGGCUCCGACCGAGAGGGACGAAAGCUGGGGGAGCAAACCGGAUUAAAUACCCGGGUAGUCCCACCCAUAAACAAUGCACGUUAGGUGUAUCGGUGACCACUAGUCACCGAGGUGCCUAACAGAAAUCGUGAAACGUGCCGCCUGGUAAGUACGGUCGCAAGGCUGAAACUUAAAGGAAUUGGCGGGGGAGCAC
This 549-nucleotide ribosomal RNA is filed under the name uncultured archaeon. RNAcentral describes it as "partial 16S rRNA". It matches the Rfam family "Archaeal small subunit ribosomal RNA", at positions 325 to 879 of the family's 1478-position model. The record is from RNAcentral.